Vanessa atalanta (red admiral) is the source of this 145-nucleotide long non-coding RNA. RefSeq lists it as uncharacterized. Lineage: Eukaryota; Metazoa; Arthropoda; Insecta; Lepidoptera; Nymphalidae. The record is from RefSeq and is a predicted model, not a curated record. The transcript has 3 exons.
CCUCCACUGUAGUUCAUCACGCAGAUGGGGUCGGUCUCCCUCCGCUCUCGCUGCCUUCAGCCGCCAGUAGACGCUCGAGUUGAUCUCGGCCUCGAGGUCCCAUGGCGGGCUUCCGGACAGCAGGCAGGCUGCAGUGAACGACACC